GACGAACGCUGGCGGCGUGCCUAAUACAUGCAAGUCGAGCGGACGGAUGGGAGCUUGCUCCCUGAAGUCAGCGGCGGACGGGUGAGUAACACGUAGGCAACCUGCCCAUAAGACUGGGAUAACUAGCGGAAACGCUAGCUAAUACCGGAUAGGCAACGGAGUCGCAUGACUUUGUUGAGAAAGGUGGAGCAAUCUACCACUUAUGGAAGGGCCUGCGGCGCAUUAGCUAGUUGGUGAGGUAACGGCUCACCAAGGCGACGAUGCGUAGCCGACCUGAGAGGGUGAUCGGCCACACUGGGACUGAGACACGGCCCAGACUCCUACGGGAGGCAGCAGUAGGGAAUCUUCCGCAAUGGACGAAAGUCUGACGGAGCAACGCCGCGUGAGUGAUGAAGGUUUUCGGAUCGUAAAGCUCUGUUGCCAGGGAAGAACGCUUAGUGGAGUAACUGCCAUUAAGGUGACGGUACCUGAGAAGAAAGCCCCGGCUAACUACGUGCCAGCCGCCGCGGUAA
Molecule: ribosomal RNA, 512 nt
Filed under: uncultured bacterium
Lineage: Bacteria
Description: partial 16S ribosomal RNA
Rfam family: Bacterial small subunit ribosomal RNA
Source: RNAcentral